ACCUUAAAAUAUGAAUCAAUCCAUUAGAAGUAUGAAAAUAUCUUCCCGGUGGUGCAACAGAGCAAACAAGGUGUCCUUUGACAUCUACGUUUCGAGACGAUUGCAACAGUGCCACACACACUCAAAAAAAUGAACUAGGGCAUGUGUUUGAUUAGCAAGCUAGAAUUAUGUUAACAUGAAAUGAUUGAAACAUGUUUUUCGUCAUUACAUGAUUCAUUCUUGUUCAUAAUAGCUGAUUUGAAGAAAAUGCAGAUCAAUCAGAAACAUAUAUAUCAAUCCAAUGAGAAGUGGAUUAAUCAAGACAAUGACUGUUGUACUGUGAGCUAUUGCGCAUGCUCGUUCCCGCCCUUGACCGACCGGAUGACACGGACUGAUACGGACGACUAGCACUUGCUCCAUAUUUAUCGUAUAGCAUCCUUCAAUUUACGAGAAAUACAUCAGAAAGGUAGCUGUCCCCCUGCUCAGAUUUUUGUCUGCUGAUACCUUUAGCCUCACAUGUGACCUGACCUCUAUGUGGCAGUGCAGACAUUGUGUAACCAGAGAGAUUAGCAGAACACAGACACCGAGGUCAGCGCCUGCAAGGCACAAACUGUGCUGGGAGUCUAUGCAAUGAAAAGGGAAGGCGCGGAGCCUGGAGACGAACUAGAGGACGUUGGCGUCCUCAUCGAGGGAGAGGAGGUGAUCAGCGAUCUUGGCAACAUCGGGAUGGCCUUCGUGCUUUUAUUUGGACUGAUUUACUGCCUUAACUUAACCUACCCAGCAGACCUCAAGUGUACAUUCGAAGUGGUACAGAAAAUUCUUCUCAAUCUGGAUGGGCAGAGGCUGUCCUCAAAGGCACAGUUCCUAAAAAAUAAGCUGAUGGAGUGAAUUCCCUCCAGAUAGACAGUCUGUGGGGAUUUAUUUUUAUUUUUAUAAGUUUAAAACUAGUUCAGAGGGUCUUGCAUGUUUGUUGAGCAGAGAAUCUUUUUUUGAUGGUGUGUGUGUGUGUGUGUG
Long non-coding RNA from Gadus chalcogrammus (walleye pollock), 993 nucleotides. RefSeq lists it as uncharacterized. NCBI's taxonomy places the organism in Eukaryota, Metazoa, Chordata, Actinopteri, Gadiformes, Gadidae. The transcript has 4 exons. The record is from RefSeq and is a predicted model, not a curated record.